AACGAACGCUGGCGGCAUGCCUAACACAUGCAAGUCGAACGAGACCUUCGGGUCUAGUGGCGCACGGGUGCGUAACGCGUGGGAACCUGCCCUUAGGUUCGGAAUAACUCCCCGAAAGGGGUGCUAAUACCGGAUAAUGUCUUCGGACCAAAGAUUUAUCGCCUUUGGAUGGGCCCGCGUUGGAUUAGCUAGUUGGUGGGGUAAAAGCCUACCAAGGCGACGAUCCAUGGCUGGUCUGAGAGGAUGAUCAGCCACACUGGGACUGAGACACGGCCCAGACUCCUACGGGAGGCAGCAGUGGGGAAUAUUGGACAAUGGGCGAAAGCCUGAUCCAGCAAUGCCGCGUGAGUGAUGAAGGCCUUAGGGUUGUAAAGCUCUUUUACCCGGGAUGAUAAUGACAGUACCGGGAGAAUAAGCUCCGGCUAACUCCGUG
RNAcentral lists this ribosomal RNA (433 nucleotides) under uncultured bacterium. RNAcentral describes it as "partial 16S ribosomal RNA". It matches the Rfam family "Bacterial small subunit ribosomal RNA", at positions 29 to 507 of the family's 1533-position model. The record is from RNAcentral.